UGGUGGCUGGCACUGUGAGAGCAUCGUUCUCAGUCCGUGGCUGGUAAAUAAGAGAUAUAUUUGCACUAUUUGUCAGUUGACGCUUCAGCAGAAGACAAUGAAGAUUCUUGUGAGUGUCUCUUUGAGUGUGAUGGUCCUCCUACAGGACGCAGCGGCUGUUACACAUUCGCUGCAGUACAUCUACACUGCAUCAUCAGGAAUGACAGAUUUCCCAGAGUUUGUCAAUCUGGGAAUGCUGGAUGGUGUACAGAUGGAUUAUUAUGACAGUGUAAUUAGGAAAGUGAUCCCCAAGCAGGACUGGAUGGCCAAGAAUGAAGGACCUGAGUACUGGGAGAGACAGACUCAGGCCUCCUUUGGUGCUGAACAGUCCUUCAAAGUUAACAUUGGAACUGCCAAGGAGCGCUUUAACCAGACUGGAGGUGUCCACAUUGCCCAGAUGAUGUAUGGCUGUGAAUGGGAUGAUGAGACUAAUGAGGUGAAGGGAUAUUAUCAGGGUGGUUAUGAUGGAGAGGACUUCAUAGUAUUCAACAUGGAGACAGAGACAUGGAUCGCUCCAAUACCAGAGGCUGUCAUCACCAAACACAAGUGGGACAAUAACAAAGCUCUAAUCGCACACUGGAAGAACUACCUCACCCAGGAAUGUCCUGAGUGGUUAAAGAAGUAUGUGAACUAUGGGAGGAGCUCUCUGAUGAGAAAAGACGUCCCCUCAGUGUCUCUCCUCCAGAAGACUCCCUCCUCUCCAGUCAGCUGCCACGCUACAGGUUUCUACCCUGACAGAGCCAUGAUGUUCUGGAGGAAAGAUGGAGAGGAGAUUCAUGAAGGAGUGGAACGUGGAGAGAUCCUCCCCAACCAUGAUGGAUCCUUCCAGAUGAAUGUUGACCUGGACAUUUCAUCAGUCUCACCUGAAGACUGGAGGAGGUACGACUGUGUGUUUCAGCUCUCUGGUGUGGAGGACGACAUCAUCACCAAACUGGACAAAGCAGCAAUUAAGACUAACUGGGGAAAGCCUGAAGUAAAAAGUGGUGAUGGAGGGUUCCCUACUGCUGCUGUUAUUGGAGGUGUUCUAGGAUUCCUCCUCCUGGCAGCCUGCGUAGCUGGACUCAUCAUCUGGAAAAAAACGCAACAACAGUGAAGAACAAAAAUAUGGGUUUAAAUGCACUAACACUUCUGACACUUCAUCAUCAUCAUCUUGACGUACAGACCCAGAGAAGGAAAAAGCUCCACUGGCAUAAAGUGAAAGGUGAGAGGAUGAAAAAUGACGGGAUUUUUCAUCUUGACAUGAAGAACACGAUGAAAACCAACACUUGAAUGCACCAUCAGCAAAAUAAAUUUCUCAAAUUUUAAUUUUACGUCUGAAAUCAAGUUGUUUCAAUAUGUGUUUAACUAACUACUAGAAACAUUUACUUGUGUUCAGGCUUCAUUCAUUCAUGUGUAGGUUUCUCCAACAGCUGGCAGGUUGUUUUUAACCACUAAGCGGUUGUAGAAGAUGAGGAUAAGAGAAAUGUGUUCUAGUCAGAGUGUUGUUGAGCUGUAUCAUGUCAUCAGGCGUUUUUUUUUUUUUUUUUU
Molecule: RNA transcript, 1566 nt
Organism: Mugil cephalus (flathead mullet)
Lineage: Eukaryota; Metazoa; Chordata; Actinopteri; Mugiliformes; Mugilidae
Gene name: class I histocompatibility antigen, F10 alpha chain-like
Exons: 8
Source: RefSeq, a predicted model, not a curated record